RNAcentral lists this transfer RNA (62 nucleotides) under Riccardoella tokyoensis. RNAcentral's name for it is "tRNA-Lys". It matches the Rfam family "tRNA". Rfam says of the family: Transfer RNA (tRNA) molecules are approximately 80 nucleotides in length. Their secondary structure includes four short double-helical elements and three loops (D, anti-codon, and T loops). Lineage: Eukaryota; Metazoa; Arthropoda; Arachnida; Trombidiformes; Ereynetidae. The record is from RNAcentral.
CAUUAAGUGGCUGAAAAAGCAUUAGCCUCUUAAGCUAAAAUAUAGUAGAUUACUCUUAAUGA